Molecule: ribosomal RNA, 451 nt
Filed under: uncultured bacterium
Lineage: Bacteria
Description: partial 16S ribosomal RNA
Rfam family: Bacterial small subunit ribosomal RNA
Source: RNAcentral
GUGGGGAAUAUUGGACAAUGGGGGGAACCCUGAUCCAGCCAUGCCGCGUGUGUGAAGAAGGCCUUUUGGUUGUAAAGCACUUUAAGCGAGGAGGAGGCUACCGAGAUUAAUACUCUUGGAUAGUGGACGUUACUCACAGAAUAAGCACCGGCUAACUCUGUGCCAGCAGCCGCGGUAAUACAGAGGGUGCAAGCGUUAAUCGGAUUUACUGGGCGUAAAGCGCGCGUAGGUGGCCAAUUAAGUCAAAUGUGAAAUCCCCGGGCUUAACUUGGGAAUUGCAUUCGAUACUGGUUGGCUAGAGUAUGGGAGAGGAUGGUAGAAUUCCAGGUGUAGCGGUGAAAUGCGUAGAGAUCUGGAGGAAUACCGAUGGCGAAGGCAGCCAUCUGGCCUAAUACUGACACUGAGGUGCGAAAGCAUGGGGAGCAAACAGGAUUAGAUACCCCUGUAGUCC